AAAUACACAUUAUUUCCCCAAGUCUCUCUCUCUCUCUCUCCUCCAAAUAACGAAUUUAAGGAUUUCUUCUCCAAAUUCCAAAAUCGCUGCCGCAGCUCCAGAUUGCUCGUCGCCGGCAAACGUCGACUUCUAGCUGCAGAUGGCGGUUACGGUGGAACUGAGGGAAAUUACAUAAAUCACGUUCUCAAUUUCUGCAUGAUUUCCGAGUUCUAGAUUUCAAUUUCCCGAUUUUCUGGCUAUUCCAAUUUCCUGAUUUUCAGGUGAUUUUUGAUUUCUUGAUUUAUUCACCUUCUUGAUUUCUUGUCAUGGCACCUAGAUCUAGGAUUUAACGAUGGAUGUGCUAGAUGAUAAGGUAAAUAUAUUUUUAAUUAUUUAUUAAUAUACUAUUUUAAUAUAAAAUUAAUAUAUUUUUAAAUUUUAUUUUGUAGGUAGGGGUGAGAAUGGGCCGGGUCGCGGGCGAGGCGGCCCUGCCCAUUCUAAAAAACGGGACGCGGAACGGAACAGGACGGGUCAGGUACUCUACGUCCCUGCCCCUAGACCCGAUGACCAAGGCGUGGAACGGGGCGACCCGCCUAAAAUUUUAAAAAAUUUAUAAAAUAUAAAUUAAAAACAAAAUAAUUAAAAAAUUAAACCAAAAAUUUAAAAUGGGUAAACUUUUUAUGCUAAUUCUUAAAAAAAUUAAUCUUAAUAAUCCUAUAUCUAAUAUAAUUUAAUUUAUUAAAAAAAAUUAAAAAUUAUUUUUUAAAAAAACCGGGCCGACCCACCCGGGUUUUGCACUGCCCCGAGACCUGCCACGAAAUAUGACAGGGGUAACAGGGCACGGGGCAAUGGGGAAAAAUUAAAAUACCACCAGGGCGCGGAACGUGGCGACCCGCCCCGUUUUCACCCUAAGUUGUGUGAAGAAUGCAAGAAUACAAAAUCACCCAUAAAGGUGUUUGUGUAAAUAAAGAAUAAG
RNAcentral lists this long non-coding RNA (955 nucleotides) under Zostera marina. RNAcentral's name for it is "long non-coding RNA (ZMAR_LNC004106)". Lineage: Eukaryota; Viridiplantae; Streptophyta; Magnoliopsida; Alismatales; Zosteraceae. The record is from RNAcentral.